This 862-nucleotide long non-coding RNA is filed under the name Homo sapiens (human). RNAcentral's name for it is "long intergenic non-protein coding RNA 511". The record is from RNAcentral. Lineage: Eukaryota; Metazoa; Chordata; Mammalia; Primates; Hominidae.
GGUAACAGCAUUCUCAGGGCCUUCUGCCAAGGGCCCGCUUUGAUCUCCCUUAAAGGACAGCAUUAUCUGACCAGAGGUAAAUUGUAACCACUGAAAGUCCGCUGUUUCGAUUCUGGGCAAGAUGCUAUGGCAGAACAGGGACCAUGAUGAACUACUUAGAAAAAUACAUAAGGCCAUACCCAUGCAGGAGACCUCUCCAGGUACACAUAUUUCCUGCUACUGAAUGGCUUAGACUGGGAUUUGCAAGGAACUACGAAGUCCAAGACCUUUGCCUUUCUUUUAGAAGAAGGCACCAGCUGGUUCUCCAAUGUUGAAGGUCUUCUCCAGAGAUGGGCAUGCAGAAGGAGUGAAAAAACAAGAAGGAAGACAAGGAAGACAUUGUUUUGGCUGCUGACAUUUCCUGAAAGAUCUGAGGCGUCCCCUUCACUUCGGGCAUGGGACCCAGACGGCUGAGUGAUGGACCUUAAGGUGUGGGGAGAUUACAACUUGCUCAAGGUCUCAUAGCUAGAAGAUGUCAGAGUGAUAACUCAAACCAUGUCACAUGACUCUAAGCCCAAAGCAGCCUCUAGAAGGUUGUUUGAUCUUCUGAUGGAAGCACAAAUCACCAUUCCAACAUGAAAGAUGGAGAAACUUAAGUCUAGAGAGAUUUAAAGGACUUGUCAAAGGCAAUGAAACAAGUGGAACUCUGAAAGCCACAUGUUGAGAUGGCCCCAUUACAGGAUGGAGAGCACCUGAACCCCCAAGUUAUGGACUAGAAGAAGACAGUUGCCCUGGAAAAUCAUCUGACCCACAUUGGACUUUAUGUGAGGGGGAAAUAAACCUUUAUUAUGUUAAGCUACACAAUAAUAAAUAACAACAAUAA